Molecule: long non-coding RNA, 3312 nt
Filed under: Homo sapiens (human)
Lineage: Eukaryota; Metazoa; Chordata; Mammalia; Primates; Hominidae
Description: HSALNT0194484
Source: RNAcentral
AUCAUCGUGGGUGCCUAUAGACCCAGCUACUCAGGAGGCUUGAGCCCAGGAGGUGGAGGUUGCAGUGAGCCAAGAUCAUGCCAGGGUGAGUGACAGAAUGAGACCCUGUCUCAAAAAAUAAUAAUAAUAAUAAAUAUGAUCAGCUGGGUGUGGGGGCAUAUGCCUGUAGUCUGAGAUAUUGGGAGGCUGAAGCAAGAGAUUCACUUCAGCCCAGGAGUUCGAGGCCAGCCUGGGCAACAUAGUGAGACCCUGUCUCUAAGACAAAAAAAAAAAAAGAGAGAAGGAGGAAGAAAGAGCUUUCUGGGCUAAGACAAAUGUUAGUCAUGUGUAUCUGUGAUGUGGUGUGAUGACAGGUCUACUUGUUCUGGAUGUCUUUUUUUUGGUGAGUAUUGUUUGGGGGAGAAAGAAGUAUUGGGUGGCGUGAGGAUUCAAUGUAGAUGGACCAAUGUUUAAUGGGACUGAGGACACAGAGAGGACACAGAGCGGACACAGAGAUGUGGGAGACAGGGUCCCUCAAGGUGCUCCUUGACACACAGACACAGCUUGGGGGACUUAGUUGCUGCCAAGCCAACUCUUGGCGUGACAUGAGGUGGCAGGAGUGGGGACGGACGGCCACUGAGGACCCACCACCCCAGGACAGCCGGGCGCCUCUGGCAGGCAGGUCCACGGUUACUGAUUGUCAUGGUCAAGCUCAGCUGGGCACUGGGUCCAGAAGGAGAUGUGACUGGCCCAUUUUGUGUCUUUUAUCUGAGCCUGCACCUUUCCUAACUCAGAUUUUUUAAAUACUUUUUUCUUUAUACUCACUUUGUUUUUCUCUGUACUAAUACACUAACUCGGAUUUUUGGCUUUUAUUGGGCCGAGGUCCCACCAACCUGGAUGCUCAGCCUUGUUUGGUAAAGCAAGAAAAGUAUCUGAGAAAUGUUCCCUAAAGGCUGAUUUCACCCCAAACAGUCACUCAGUGAUGCGCCUCACUUACCAAGGACACACCCCCAAAAGGCAUCUCCUGGCCUCCGGGUCUCACUCUGUUAUCGCAGGGUGUGGUGGAGCAGGUGUGGUUGGGUGGCCACCAAGAUGGAUUUCAGUCUCUUUCCAGGCCCAGGGAACAAGCCGAAUUCGAGAGACUUGGCUUUUAGCCUCCUGUUAGAGCCAAGAAAGACUUCAAAGACUCAACGGCUUCUAAGGCUUUUUACAUCAGCAAAGUCCUGCAAAGCCUGCAAACGAAGGCUGCUUUGAGGCCUUUCAUUCUAAGGACAGAGAAGGUAAAUUCCAUGGCCACUUUCUCCAGAGCAGCAACUGGGCUCCUUCUUUUUACUUCCAUGGGGAGGACAAGAGAUUCAUUUGCUUUCUGUUGCUGAGAAUGCUAUCAAAACAAAUUUUACUUUUAGCUGCAACCUUUCAAAAGCGUCUUAAGCAUAAAGCACGAAAAAAUCCCCAAGCUUAUGUAGGCAUUCUAGUUUUUUCGUGGUUGGUGUUUUUUUUUAACUGUGCCAGUUUCAGCUGAAACAUGGUUCUAUUGUUUCCAUUUCCCACUGUACAUACAGCACUGAAUUCUUGGGGAGCAAAAGUACGAGGGCAGAUUGAGAAACCCCAGUUCAUGAGAAGUUUGUUGUUGUGGUGGUUGUUGUUUUAGCAAAGAGAGGAAAUCGGUAAAUAGCUCUGAUGUUGAGACAGCAGGAGGUCAGGACAUUGAGCAACGUGCAGGUGGGGUUGUGGACUCAGGGCUGAGCGGCAGGGGGCGCUCCUCCCAGUGCAAGCCUUCAGAAACACCAGCCUUGAGUUGGACGGUUCUGGCUCAUUGUGUGGAGUCCUAAGUGGUCACACUCCACACUCCUAAGUGGUCUGGUCACACAGUUGUUUUAAAGAAGGGUAAUGGCUCAUUAGGUAGAUUUGGGUAGGAUGCAGCUUGAAGUGGGGCGUAAAAUCCUUUCAUUGUCCAAUGGGGAGGUCACAGUGCAGCAGCUACUCCUUGUACUUGGAAUGAGGGAAACAGCGUAAUCUAGACUUGAACACGGGCUCAGGAACCAGGAGCGCCAGCCACAGAUCUCACUCACUCUCACUGUUGUUUGCAACUUUGGGCAAGUCAAGUAACUUCUCUGCUGGAUCACUGCUUCUCCAACUGUGUGAGCAUUUGUAGCUUUUUCCCAAAUAAGUACUCUACUUCCUGGCUUUCCAAAGUGGAGCCGGACAGUCGCUUCUGCAUCAUUGGGAGUUUGUUGGCAAUGCAGAAUGUCAGCCUCGAUUCCAGACCUACUACAUGGAAUCUGCAUUUUAACCAGAGGCCCAGUGCUGAGCACACUGAGGUCUGAGAAGGACUGCUCUGUUCUCCCAGGUCACUGCAAUGGUAUCAGGUUCUUCUGUUCCUCUCUCUCAGAGGAUACUUGAAAUGAUGCCUGAAAAAAAAGACAAUCUAGGCCAGGCAUGGUGCCUCAUGCUUGUAAUCCUAGCCCUUUGGGAGGCCAAGGCGGGAGCAUCACUUCAACCCAGGAGUUUGGGACAAGCCUGGAUAACAUAGUAAGACCCCAUCUCUACAAAAGAAUAAAAAAUUAGCUGGGUGUGGUGGUGCACACCUGUAGUCCCAGCUACUUGGGAAGCUGAAGUGGGAGAAGUGGGGAGGAUUGCUUGAGCCUGAGAGGUCGAGGCUGCAGUGAGCCAUGAUCGUACCACUGCACUCCAGCCUGGAUGACACAGCGAGACUCUCAAAAAAAAAAAAAAAAAAAAGAUCAUCUAUAUAUAUGGUCAGGACUCAGGUAAGAUCCUUAAGAUGUCUUUGUAUUCAUCUGUAAUAAGUCAUUUUAAGAACUCCAUGUUCUCUGAGGCAUUUUCUGAAAGUCAUUUGUGCACCCAUCUAUUGCCAAUGAUUUCUCCUCUCACUAGAGGUGUGAGAUGUUUUUCAAACCCGCUAUGAAUUUCUGUUAAAUUACCUUACCCAUUAGAUGUUUUUUCACCCUGCUGUCUCUCACCAGGGGAACGCUGUGAAAAAGCUUUAGAACACUGUGCAAGCAAUCAUCCUUUCCAGCCACCUGUUUCUGCUGACAACUUUAUGAAUAGCUUCUUUACCAAUCAUUAGACAAAAACCAUUCCAUUCUGGAGAAUGAUGACACAGAAGGUUAAGGGCUUUUUCUAAAAGCACAUACACAUGUGUGAGGUUUGCCAAAACCAGCUUGUGCCCAAAGUAGGACAGAUGGGCCACUAAGGGGAAAGAGCAGAGAAAGGGAUUCAAGAGAAGGAAGUUUUUGUAAGGCUUGUGCUAUAGACUGAGUGACUGUAUUCCCCCAAAAUUCAUAAUCAUCAAUGUGAUGGUAUUAAGAGACA